RNAcentral lists this ribosomal RNA (254 nucleotides) under uncultured bacterium. Its description in RNAcentral is "partial small subunit ribosomal RNA". It matches the Rfam family "Bacterial small subunit ribosomal RNA", at positions 26 to 285 of the family's 1533-position model. The record is from RNAcentral.
AGGACGAACGCUGGCGGCGUGCUUAACACAUGCAAGUCGAGCGGAAAGGCCCUUCGGGGUACUCGAGCGGCGAACGGGUGAGUAACACGUGAGCAACCUGCCCUUAGCUCUGGGAUAGCUCCGGGAAACCGGAAUUAAUACCGGAUAUUACACCGGCUGGCAUCGGCUGGUGUGGAAAGAUUUAUCGGCUAAGGAUGGACUCGCGGCCUAUCAGCUUGUUGGUGGGGUAGAGCCUACCAAGGCGACGACGGGUA